RNAcentral lists this ribosomal RNA (468 nucleotides) under uncultured bacterium. Its description in RNAcentral is "partial 16S ribosomal RNA". It matches the Rfam family "Bacterial small subunit ribosomal RNA", at positions 28 to 507 of the family's 1533-position model. The record is from RNAcentral.
GACGAACGCUGGCGGCGUGCUUAACACAUGCAAGUCGAACGGAAAGGCCCUGCUUUUGUGGGGUGCUCGAGUGGCGAACGGGUGAGUAACACGUGAGUAACCUGCCCUUGACUAUGGGAUAACUUCAGGAAACUGGGGCUAAUACCGGAUAGGAGCUCCUGCUGCAUGGUGGGGGUUGGAAAGUUUCGGCGGUUGGGGAUGGACUCGCGGCUUAUCAGCUUGUUGGUGGGGUAGUGGCUUACCAAGGCUUUGACGGGUAGCCGGCCUGAGAGGGUGACCGGCCACAUUGGGACUGAGAUACGGCCCAGACUCCUACGGGAGGCAGCAGUGGGGAAUAUUGCACAAUGGGCGGAAGCCUGAUGCAGCAACGCCGCGUGCGGGAUGACGGCCUUCGGGUUGUAAACCGCUUUCGCCUGUGACGAAGCGUGAGUGACGGUAAUGGGUAAAGAAGCACCGGCUAACUACGUG